UACAGAGGGUGCAAGCGUUAAUCGGAAUUACUGGGCGUAAAGCGCGCGUGGGUGGUUCGUUAAGUUGGAUGUGAAAUCCCCGGGCUCAACCUGGGAACUGCAUUCAAAACUGUCGAGCUAGAGUAUGGUAGAGGGUGGUGGAAUUUCCUGUGUAGCGGUGAAAUGCGUAGAUAUCGAGAGGAACACCAGUGGCGAAGGCGAGUCCCUGGACAACACCUGACACUGAGGCACGAAAGCCGGGGGAGCAAACAGG
Molecule: ribosomal RNA, 253 nt
Filed under: uncultured prokaryote
Description: partial 16S ribosomal RNA
Rfam family: Bacterial small subunit ribosomal RNA
Source: RNAcentral